This 400-nucleotide ribosomal RNA is filed under the name uncultured bacterium. RNAcentral describes it as "bacterial SSU rRNA". It matches the Rfam family "Bacterial small subunit ribosomal RNA", at positions 355 to 772 of the family's 1533-position model. The record is from RNAcentral.
UGGGGAAUAUUGGACAAUGGGGGCAACCCUGAUCCAGCCAUGCCGCGUGAGUGAUGAAGGCCUUCGGGUUGUAAAGCUCUUUUGGCGGGGACGAUGAUGACGGUACCCGCAGAAUAAGCCCCGGCUAACUUCGUGCCAGCAGCCGCGGUAACACGGGGGGAGCAAGCGUUGUUCGGAAUCACUGGGCGUAAAGGGCGUGUAGGCGGUCAGGUAAGUGGGAUGUGAAAUGCCCCGGCUCACCCGGGGACCUGCAUCCCAAACUGCUUGGCUUGAGUAUGGGAGAGGAUGAGGGAAUUCCUGGUGUAGCGGUGAAAUGCGUAGAUAUCAGGAGGAACACCGGUGGCGAAGGCGCUCAUCUGGCCCAAUACUGACGCUGAGGCGCGAAAGCUAGGGGAGCAAA